Molecule: ribosomal RNA, 105 nt
Filed under: Candidatus Vidania fulgoroideorum
Lineage: Bacteria; Pseudomonadati; Pseudomonadota; Betaproteobacteria
Source: RNAcentral
UUUGAUAAUAAUAGCAAUAUGGACAAACGCUUUACCAUUCCGAACAAGAUAGUUAAACAUAUUAGUGCCGAUGAUAGCUUAAUAAGCAAAAGUAGGGAAUUAUCA